GCCCGCCUAGCUCAAUCGGAUAGAGCGUCAGACUCUUACUGUCCAUUCGACGUUGUGUUCGACAGGCGGGGUGAUCUGAAGGCUGCGAGUUCGACCCUCGCGGUGGGCU
Molecule: non-coding RNA, 109 nt
Organism: Obba rivulosa
Lineage: Eukaryota; Fungi; Basidiomycota; Agaricomycetes; Polyporales; Gelatoporiaceae
Source: the annotation of a GenBank genome assembly